AAAUUGAAGAGUUUGAUCAUGGCUCAGAUUGAACGCUGGCGGCAGGCCUAACACAUGCAAGUCGAGCGGAAACGAGUUAUCUGAACCUUCGGGGGACGAUAACGGCGUCGAGCGGCGGACGGGUGAGUAAUGCCUAGGAAAUUGCCCUGGUGUGGGGGAUAACCAUUGGAAACGAUGGCUAAUACCGCAUAAUACCUACGGGUCAAAGAGGGGGACCUUCGGGCCUCUCGCGUCAGGAUAUGCCUAGG
RNAcentral lists this ribosomal RNA (248 nucleotides) under Vibrio parahaemolyticus. RNAcentral describes it as "partial 16S ribosomal RNA". It matches the Rfam family "Bacterial small subunit ribosomal RNA", at positions 1 to 235 of the family's 1533-position model. Lineage: Bacteria; Pseudomonadati; Pseudomonadota; Gammaproteobacteria; Vibrionales; Vibrionaceae. The record is from RNAcentral.